This 468-nucleotide ribosomal RNA is filed under the name uncultured bacterium. RNAcentral's name for it is "partial 16S ribosomal RNA". It matches the Rfam family "Bacterial small subunit ribosomal RNA", at positions 28 to 507 of the family's 1533-position model. The record is from RNAcentral.
GACGAACGCUGGCGGCGUGCUUAACACAUGUCAGUAGAACGGAAAGGCUACGCUUUUGUUGCGUGCUCGAGUGGCGAACGGGUAAGAAAUACGUGAGUAAACCGGCCAUGUCAUUGGGUUAAUUUCUGGAAACUUGGGCCAAUACAGGCUAGGGACAUCUGUCGCAUGUUGGGGGUCAGAAUGUUUCGGCGGUUGGGGUUGGCCUCGCGGCUAAUCAUUUUGUUGGUGGGGUAGUGUCUUAUCUACGCUUUGAUGGGUAGCCGGCAUGAGCGGGUGACCGGCCACAUUGGGACUGAGAGACCGCCCAGACUACUACGGGAGGCAGCAGUGGGGAAUAUUGCACAAUGGGCGGAAGCCUGAUGCAGCAACGCCGCGUGCGGGAUGACGGCCGUCGGGUUGUAAACCGCUUUCGCCUGUGACGAAGCGUGAGUGACGGUAAUGGGUAAAGAAGCACCGGCUAACUACGUG